CAAUAGCGUAUAUUAAAGUUGUUGCGGUUAAAAAGCUCGUAGUUGGAUUUCUGCUGAGGACGAUCGGUCCGCCCACUGGGUGAGUAUCUGGCUCGGCCUUGGCAUCUUCUUGGAGAACGUUGCUGCACUUGACUGUGUGGUGCGGUAUCCAGGACUUUUACUUUGAGGAAAUUAGAGUGUUUCAAGCAGGCGCACGCCUUGAAUACAUUAGCAUGGAAUAAUAAGAUAGGACCUUGGUUCUAUUUUGUUGGUUUCUAGAGCUGAGGUAAUGAUUAAUAGGGAUAGUUGGGGGCAUUCGUAUUUAACUGUCAGAGAUGAAAUUCUUGGAUUUGUUAAAGACGGACUACUGCGAAAGCAUUUGCCAAGGAUGUUUUCAUUGA
This 380-nucleotide ribosomal RNA is filed under the name uncultured eukaryote. RNAcentral describes it as "partial 18S ribosomal RNA". It matches the Rfam family "Eukaryotic small subunit ribosomal RNA", at positions 592 to 976 of the family's 1831-position model. The record is from RNAcentral.